RNAcentral lists this non-coding RNA (23 nucleotides) under Arabidopsis thaliana (thale cress). The record is from RNAcentral. Lineage: Eukaryota; Viridiplantae; Streptophyta; Magnoliopsida; Brassicales; Brassicaceae.
GUAUACAUUACCGCCUCCCUUGC